Molecule: ribosomal RNA, 232 nt
Filed under: uncultured bacterium
Lineage: Bacteria
Description: partial 16S ribosomal RNA
Rfam family: Bacterial small subunit ribosomal RNA
Source: RNAcentral
CGAACGGGUGAGUAAUGUCUGGGAAACUGCCCGAUGGAGGGGGAUAACUACUGGAAACGGUAGCUAAUACCGCAUAACGUCGCAAGACCAAAGAGGGGGACCUUCGGGCCUCUUGCCAUCGGAUGUGCCCAGAUGGGAUUAGCUAGUAGGUGGGGUAACGGCUCACCUAGGCGACGAUCCCUAGCUGGUCUGAGAGGAUGACCAGCCACACUGGAACUGAGACACGGUCCAG